RNAcentral lists this long non-coding RNA (3036 nucleotides) under Chinchilla lanigera (long-tailed chinchilla). RNAcentral's name for it is "lncRNA (ENSCLAG00000027198.1)". The record is from RNAcentral. Lineage: Eukaryota; Metazoa; Chordata; Mammalia; Rodentia; Chinchillidae.
CAGGAAGUGAGCAGCUGUCCUCUACCAGGCCUCUCUCCUGUGCCGUUCUGCCCUGGAGCCGGCUGAUCAUGGACUGAAACCACAAGCCGAAAUAAACCUCUCUUCCUUCCAGUCGUGAAGGAAGUAAGAUACUAUUCAGGGCCCAGAAGUGAAAGCCAAGUGCUCCGGUCGCCCUGCCUGCCUUACCCAGAGUUUCUCAACUGCUAGGGAGGUACCAUCGGAGUGCCAAGUCCCCCCAAAGCCUAAAACGCCGCAGUUCUGACUCCACGGGUCUUCCUUUCCACCCCCACUUCUUGCAUCGUCUUCAGAAUAGAUGGGCAACUUGAAAGACAAACUGGAGCGCUUCCGUCGCCGCAUGAUGUUACCCUACUGAAAUUAAUAACCCAGCAGAGCCCUGCGGUGGCUUUUCUCUGUCGAAGACCCAGGGGAGGAGGGUCGCCGUGGACUGCAGGAACAGCAGUAAAGUGGCUUUGCAGAGACGGGAUCACGGAUGCCAAAAGGCACCUGCUUCUCCGAGGCCUUUCCACUCGCGUGGAGAGGAGUCCGGUGUGGUGGAGACUCAAGGAGGCGAACGAAGGACUGAGCAGCGUGCGGAGGGGGCGUGGCCAGGUGGGCGUGGCCUAGGUCGGAGGGCGCGGCCGAGAGGGCGUGGCCGGGGCGCGGCGGACCCCCCCGGUGGGCGGAGCUUCGGUCGCCUGGCCUCAGCCUUGCGACCCGGUUGUGCAUCCGUGCCCGCUCCCUCGCGCGGACGCCGGGUCCCGGGUCUCUGGGUUUUCCUCAUAGCCAGUGUUAGUCUGGUUAGUGACUCACCGCUUAGUGCCUACUUCCUCUGGGUUCCUCUUUUUUCCUUUUCUGAACUGAACAGGACUUUUGCCCUGAACUACAUCCCCAGCCCUUUCUAAUUUUUGAGGCAGGGUCACCCCAAGCCUCUAAGUCUCGAGCUUGCGCUGCUCCUGCCUCAGCCUCCCAGAGUGCUGGGAUUCCGGAGGGGCGCGCCGCCCCUCUCUCCGGGUCCUCCUUUGAAUUUCCCCAAAUCCGUCUCCCAGAGCGGAGCCCGUUCUCACACUGCGCCUGCGCGUCUUGCAGCCCUGUGCGUCCCCCUGGGUCCAGCUGGUGGAAAUUCACUGUCUGGCGUCAUCCCGAUUUUCCCCCCUGUGGGUAGGACUGCUUUCGCCAGGAUCCUGGAAAAUGGUUGCCUUCUCUCUCUUUGUGCUACCAGGUGAAAGGCGGUAUCAGCUCUGUCGCUGGAGGAAAAGGUGAAGGGCGCGGGGUGGAGGCGGGGCACAGAGCUCUGCCCGAGCCACCUGGCGCGCGGCCAGGGCCAGGCCAGGACCGGACGCGGGGCCACGGGGACACCGCCGCCCACGAAUCCCUCCCCCUUUCUAACCCGGGUGAGGCGAUUCGCUUUACAAAGGCCACAGUACUGCAGGCGACUUCUGCAAAGCUGAACCAGUGGAAAGAUAAAGGCAAAUAUCGAACUUGCCCUUUGCUUGCCAAAUCAAUACCUUGAAUAAAGAAGGAUCCAGGUAGAGGGAAUUUGUCCCUAAGAACCUCAACAGCCGAGGCGGAAGUAAACGGUGGGAGUGGGAGGUGGCUUAUCCUGCUCAUCUUGCUGCGAAUCGACAGGGAUUCAGUUCGCGAGAGCUGGCCGAGUAGCUGGGAAAUGUCAAACAAGGCAGCAGGCGCUCAGACAAGCACAGCGCGUAACAGCCAGUAAUUCUCAGGUGUGAGCUGGAACACAAGGGCAGAGAAAAAAGAAAAAUACAGGGGAAAAGUUUAAAGCAUCGCAUUGGACUAAGGAGUGAAGAAGUCCUGAGCGACUUCAGUCCAGUUAUGACCAACUCCAGGGAGGAAGGGACAGUUGCUUGAAGCCAAAAUUGGGGAAUGCGUGUCUUAAAUGAUAAGCAUAUAAAGUGUGUUUUGUAAACUGAGGUAUCUCUCGUUUUUUGCAGCGUGUCUUCUUGGAGAACAAGGAAGUGGGGUUAAAAGAAGUCAACUCGGAUCUGUGUGACUUCAACCUGUGGGGCUCUGAGGGAAAAUUACCGACAUCUCAGAGCUUUUGCUUUCACCUGCUAAAUAGGGUUGUUUUGAAAAUUAAAUGAUAUAAAGUGCUUAUGUACACCUGGAGCAUAAUUCAUAGACAUAAUUGCCACUACUAAAAUUACUACUCAAAAUAAUAUUUCUGUAGAACUCAUGCUACAGUUUUAUUUAUUUAUUUAUUUAUUUAUUUUGGUACUGGGAAUUGAACUCAGGACUUUGCACUUGCCAGGCAGGCACUUGUGCCGCUGAGCUGUAGCUCAUGCUACAGCUUUAAUAAGCAGUCAACAAAUACUUUUUCCGAGUAGAGAAAAACCCCUAAUUCAUAAGUAACACUAACUCUUAUCACACAUUUCCUAUUUUAUCUGAAAGACAGUAAUUCAAAGACUAAGACAUCGGCAUUUUCUUAGUUCUGAUUUGUUCUAUGUCAGAAUAAUCAGACACACAAUCUUAAAUAUCUCAUGGCAUCUCUUGUAUGAGAAACCCAAAGUAUGAAGAAAUGAAGCAGCAAAAUAAAAGAUAGAUAAUAGGAAACAGGGAGAUCUUUUGCAAAUGGGAGAGGAACCAACAGAUAGAGAGAGGAGAGAGGGAAAGGAAGGGAGAGGAACACAGAAAGAAUUAAGAUGUAUUAUGUUCAUUUACCAACUCCCCACGAUGAAUGUUACCUUGAAGUACUGCAAGCAUGGAGUAAUAAAAAUAAAGAAUAAUAGAAAUUUUAUGUACCUUGGUAUAAGGGUGGUGGUUGCAAUUCUGUAAUUAAACUUACAAUGGAUGCAAAGAAAACAAUAGAAUGAAAACAGAGACAUUCACUAGACUACGUGGAAGAUCCCCUGUCAUACCACUGCACUUUCUUUGUUUUUUCGUGCCAGGGCUCAAACCCAGGGCCUUGAGCAUAGUAGACAAGGAAUCUACCACUGUACCACAUCCCCCAGCUCAGAUCCUUGUCCUUCUAAAUCCGUCUUUAAAAAAAAUAAAUCCAUUUUAAUUUCAGAUGUUUCC